GGGGAUGAUCGGCUUCGACGGGGCAGGCUGACCGAGAACUGCAUGCCGAGGUGCGUCCACCUCGUUAAAAGGCGCACAAACACAACUGCCAACAACGGCAAGGCUUUCACCUUCGCUCCCCGCAGUAAUGCGGCUUUCGCCCUCGCUGCCUAAGCGAAGCUAGCCACCCCCUCGGCCCACGGGUCGAGGCGGCCCUCACAGUGUGUCUCGCAGGCUGUGAGCCAGCCGUCAUAAACUGUUAGAGAUGCUGCCCGGCUGACGUCGAUAGGCCUGGCAAAAGAGCCAGAUGCGUCUGGCCAUCGACUUCCUCUUCAGGAACUCGCUGUCGCUGGCGGGUCGGAGAGCCAAGACACAAGCAGCGACUAAGCUUGUAGUAUGUUCUCGC
Molecule: transfer-messenger RNA, 385 nt
Filed under: Anaerolineae bacterium
Lineage: Bacteria; Bacillati; Chloroflexota; Anaerolineae
Description: partial transfer-messenger RNA
Rfam family: transfer-messenger RNA
About the family: Bacterial tmRNA, also known as 10Sa RNA or SsrA, is named for its dual tRNA and mRNA-like properties.
Source: RNAcentral